GGACUGGUGUGCACACAGGUGUCCAUGUGCCUGUAUGUAUGCAGGUGUGUGUGUGACACACACAUACAUGUGAUAUACGCAGGCGUGUGAGAUACACAUACAUGUGACAUAUGCAGGCGUGUGAGAUACACAUACAUGUGAUAUAUGCAGGCGUGUGUGAGACACAUACCUGUGGUGUAUGCAGCUGUGAGACACAUACAUGUGAUAUAUGCAGGUGUGUGAGACACACACAUGAUAGAUGCAGGCGUGUGAGGCAUAUAUGUGUAUGCAGGUGUGUGAGACACAUACAAGUGAUAUAUGCAGAUGUGUGUGACAUACAUGUGGUGUAUGCAGGCAUGUGUGACACAUAUACAUGUGAUAUAUGCAGGCGUGUGUGAGACAUACAUACCUGUGGUGUAUGCAGGCGUGUGAGACACAUACAUGUGACAUAUGCAGGCGUGACAUACAUACCUGUGGUGUAUGCAGGUGUGUGAUACACAUACAUGUGACAUAUGCAGGCGUGUGACAUACAUACCUGUGGUGUAUGCAGGCGUGUGAGAUACACAUACAUGUGACGUAUGCAGGCAUGUGACAUACAUACCUGUGGUCCACACCUGUCUGCACACGCCUCCUGUUACUGAUGGUUAACUCAGUGGCUGGCACACUCACCACCUUCUCACUGUGGCUGGCAACAAGCUGCUGUUCUGCACCAGGACCUCCUCUCAGGCUCCCAGCAAAGGAGGCCGGCAGCUUUGACACGAGGGUCCGGGAGCCGUGGCUCCUCCAGGUUAGUGGUGCACACAGCGCUUGCCACACCGCCCACUGCCUCACUCCGUGCUGUGCCUGGUGCUGCGUGGGUCCUGAGGCUCCUGCUCCUGACCCUGGUGCCGCUGGGACAGAGUCCAGGUGGGAGGGCAGUGUGUGGUGUGUGUGUGGCCAGUCCCCAGGGACAGGACGCCCGAG
RNAcentral lists this long non-coding RNA (942 nucleotides) under Homo sapiens (human). RNAcentral's name for it is "non-protein coding lnc-SLC22A31-8:1". The record is from RNAcentral. Lineage: Eukaryota; Metazoa; Chordata; Mammalia; Primates; Hominidae.